This 1825-nucleotide ribosomal RNA is filed under the name Escherichia coli. RNAcentral describes it as "partial 23S ribosomal RNA". It matches the Rfam family "Bacterial large subunit ribosomal RNA", at positions 426 to 2236 of the family's 2925-position model. Lineage: Bacteria; Pseudomonadati; Pseudomonadota; Gammaproteobacteria; Enterobacterales; Enterobacteriaceae. The record is from RNAcentral.
GUGGUAUCCUGUCUGAAUAUGGGGGGACCAUCCUCCAAGGCUAAAUACUCCUGACUGACCGAUAGUGAACCAGUACCGUGAGGGAAAGGCGAAAAGAACCCCGGCGAGGGGAGUGAAAAAGAACCUGAAACCGUGUACGUACAAGCAGUGGGAGCACGCUUAGGCGUGUGACUGCGUACCUUUUGUAUAAUGGGUCAGCGACUUAUAUUCUGUAGCAAGGUUAACCGAAUAGGGGAGCCGAAGGGAAACCGAGUCUUAACUGGGCGUUAAGUUGCAGGGUAUAGACCCGAAACCCGGUGAUCUAGCCAUGGGCAGGUUGAAGGUUGGGUAACACUAACUGGAGGACCGAACCGACUAAUGUUGAAAAAUUAGCGGAUGACUUGUGGCUGGGGGUGAAAGGCCAAUCAAACCGGGAGAUAGCUGGUUCUCCCCGAAAGCUAUUUAGGUAGCGCCUCGUGAAUUCAUCUCCGGGGGUAGAGCACUGUUUCGGCAAGGGGGUCAUCCCGACUUACCAACCCGAUGCAAACUGCGAAUACCGGAGAAUGUUAUCACGGGAGACACACGGCGGGUGCUAACGUCCGUCGUGAAGAGGGAAACAACCCAGACCGCCAGCUAAGGUCCCAAAGUCAUGGUUAAGUGGGAAACGAUGUGGGAAGGCCCAGACAGCCAGGAUGUUGGCUUAGAAGCAGCCAUCAUUUAAAGAAAGCGUAAUAGCUCACUGGUCGAGUCGGCCUGCGCGGAAGAUGUAACGGGGCUAAACCAUGCACCGAAGCUGCGGCAGCGACGCUGAUGCGUUGUUGGGUAGGGGAGCGUUCUGUAAGCCUGUGAAGGUGUGCUGUGAGGCAUGCUGGAGGUAUCAGAAGUGCGAAUGCUGACAUAAGUAACGAUAAAGCGGGUGAAAAGCCCGCUCGCCGGAAGACCAAGGGUUCCUGUCCAACGUUAAUCGGGGCAGGGUGAGUCGACCCCUAAGGCGAGGCCGAAAGGCGUAGUCGAUGGGAAACAGGUUAAUAUUCCUGUACUUGGUGUUACUGCGAAGGGGGGACGGAGAAGGCUAUGUUGGCCGGGCGACGGUUGUCCCGGUUUAAGCGUGUAGGCUGGUUUUCCAGGCAAAUCCGGAAAAUCAAGGCUGAGGCGUGAUGACGAGGCACUACGGUGCUGAAGCAACAAAUGCCCUGCUUCCAGGAAAAGCCUCUAAGCAUCAGGUAACAUCAAAUCGUACCCCAAACCGACACAGGUGGUCAGGUAGAGAAUACCAAGGCGCUUGAGAGAACUCGGGUGAAGGAACUAGGCAAAAUGGUGCCGUAACUUCGGGAGAAGGCACGCUGAUAUGUAGGUGAAGCGACUUGCUCGUGGAGCUGAAAUCAGUCGAAGAUACCAGCUGGCUGCAACUGUUUAUUAAAAACACAGCACUGUGCAAACACGAAAGUGGACGUAUACGGUGUGACGCCUGCCCGGUGCCGGAAGGUUAAUUGAUGGGGUCAGCGCAAGCGAAGCUCUUGAUCGAAGCCCCGGUAAACGGCGGCCGUAACUAUAACGGUCCUAAGGUAGCGAAAUUCCUUGUCGGGUAAGUUCCGACCUGCACGAAUGGCGUAAUGAUGGCCAGGCUGUCUCCACCCGAGACUCAGUGAAAUUGAACUCGCUGUGAAGAUGCAGUGUACCCGCGGCAAGACGGAAAGACCCCGUGAACCUUUACUAUAGCUUGACACUGAACAUUGAGCCUUGAUGUGUAGGAUAGGUGGGAGGCUUUGAAGUGUGGACGCCAGUCUGCAUGGAGCCGGCCUUGAAAUACCACCCUUUAAUGUUUGAUGUUCUAACGUUGACCCGU